Long non-coding RNA from Dromaius novaehollandiae (emu), 832 nucleotides. RefSeq lists it as uncharacterized. The transcript has 3 exons. The record is from RefSeq and is a predicted model, not a curated record. Lineage: Eukaryota; Metazoa; Chordata; Aves; Casuariiformes; Dromaiidae.
CCGGGAGCUGCCCCACGCGGGGACGGUGCUGGCGGCUCCGGCGAUGCCGCUCGGGGCGGGAGAGCCCAGCGUCAUUCAUCCAGGAGCUGCCGGCCGAGCUCCUGACACGAGCCGAACAACACAGCAAGCUCGGAGAGGAGGCAGGUACGCAGGAUUGCGCCCAUUUUCCUGCUGCACCCGCUGAGGCAGAGCUUCCUGCACGGCAGCCGUGCCUGGCUGCCAGGCUUAGAUGCCCGCAGCUGGGGGUUCCCCGGGGCUGCCCUGCUCGCUGCAUGCGGCAUUUUGGCAAGAGGCAAAGGAAGCUGCCAAGAGACAAAUCGCCUUGGCUGCUGCUGCAGGAUGCUGGAGCAGAUUUUGCAGUUUUGAAGUGCAGCAAAUCUCGUGACUGUCACUUCACGCACUCGGCACAGCUGGAGCCUGCCCGCUUCUCCACCGAGCCAAGGGCAUCGCCAGGGGACGUUUCGGAGCAGCUCCCGUCCUCUGCCAGCGGCUCCAGGAUGAACGGGAACCAGCGUGCUGCUGGGACGGACGCUUUACGACCGAUCUAGAUGCGUUUCUGCUAGGAGGUGUAACUUGUACCCCAAAACCAAGCUGAGGGAAUGACCUUGGCGGCUCAGCGGCGCUUCCCCUGCUGUUAAUUAAAGAGCGGCAGCAGCGCGGCUGCUGUGCAGCAGCACGGUCCCCUCGGAGCGCGGAUUCACGCAGCUUUCCAUGGCUUUCGAAGCUGAGCCCUCCCAGGGCACGGGGCACGGUGGGAGCCACGGGAUCCCCUCUGCAGCCGGGACGGAGGGCAGGUCCGCGCGAGAGCCCCCGCCGGUCCCCCCCGGCAGCU